CCUACGGGAGGCAGCAGUGGGGAAUAUUGCGCAAUGGGCGAAAGCCUGACGCAGCGACGCCGCGUGAGGGAUGAAGGUCUUCGGAUCGUAAACCUCUGUCAGCAGGGAAGAACGGUCACUGUGCUAAUCAGCAGUGAAUUGACGGUACCUGCAAAGGAAGCACCGGCUAACUCCGUGCCAGCAGCCGCGGUAAUACGGAGGGUGCGAGCGUUAAUCGGAAUUACUGGGCGUAAAGCGCUCGUAGGCGGUAUGUCAAGUCAAGGGUGAAAUCCCCGCGCUCAACGUGGGAACUGCCUUUGAAACUGGUAAACUGGAGUGUGUGAGAGGAUAGUGGAAUUCCAGGUGUAGGAGUGAAAGCCGUAGAUAUCUGGAGGAACAUCAGUGGCGAAGGCGACUAUCUGGCACAUAACUGACGCUGAGGAGCGAAAGCGUGGGUAGCAAACAGGAUUAGAUACCCCAGUAGUC
Molecule: ribosomal RNA, 465 nt
Filed under: uncultured bacterium
Lineage: Bacteria
Description: partial 16S ribosomal RNA
Rfam family: Bacterial small subunit ribosomal RNA
Source: RNAcentral